RNAcentral lists this ribosomal RNA (476 nucleotides) under uncultured bacterium. RNAcentral describes it as "partial 16S ribosomal RNA". It matches the Rfam family "Bacterial small subunit ribosomal RNA", at positions 28 to 501 of the family's 1533-position model. The record is from RNAcentral.
GACGAACGCUGGCGGCGUGCUUAACACAUGCAAGUCGAACGGUAAGGCCCUUCGGGGUACACGAGUGGCGAACGGGUGAGUAACACGUGGGUGAUCUGCCCUGCACUUCGGGAUAAGCCUGGGAAACUGGGUCUAAUACCGGAUAGGACCCUGGGAUGCAUGUCCUGGGGUGGAAAGCUUUUGCGGUGUGGGAUGGGCCCGCGGCCUAUCAGCUUGUUGGUGGGGUGAUGGCCUACCAAGGCGACGACGGGUAGCCGGCCUGAGAGGGUGACCGGCCACACUGGGACUGAGAUACGGCCCAGACUCCUACGGGAGGCAGCAGUGGGGAAUAUUGCACAAUGGGCGCAAGCCUGAUGCAGCGACGCCGCGUGAGGGAUGACGGCCUUCGGGUUGUAAACCUCUUUCAGUUAGGACGAAGCUUUAUUGGUUAAUAACCAAUUGGAGUGACGGUACUUUCAGAAGAAGCCCCGGCUAAC